UUUCCGCACAAGGAAAUUACAUCCUGAAAUCUCUCAGUGUCAUGUGGAAAAUUUACCCUUAGGCCAUGCUGCUUCUCAGGAUGUGAUCAUCUACAAUGGGCACCGAGAGUGAGACUGCUGAUUUGGCAUCGGAAGGAUAGUUACACCCUGGGCAGAUUGUGGACAGAAAUAUAUAUUUCAACCAGAAAAAUCCUUUCAAUAA
This is a long non-coding RNA of Tachyglossus aculeatus (Australian echidna), 202 nucleotides long. RefSeq lists it as uncharacterized. The transcript has 4 exons. The record is from RefSeq and is a predicted model, not a curated record. Lineage: Eukaryota; Metazoa; Chordata; Mammalia; Monotremata; Tachyglossidae.